Molecule: long non-coding RNA, 221 nt
Filed under: Panax ginseng (ginseng)
Lineage: Eukaryota; Viridiplantae; Streptophyta; Magnoliopsida; Apiales; Araliaceae
Description: long non-coding RNA (PGIN_LNC013064)
Source: RNAcentral
UCUGAUACUCUACAAUUGACUAUACGACUUUCAAAAGUCACUCUACGAUUCUGCGUGACACUCUACGAUCAGUCAUUUCACUCUACGAUUGACUAUACGACUUGCAGAAGUCACUCUACGAUUCUUCCUGACACUAUGAUUUGACUCUACGAUCAGUCAUUUCACUCUACGGUUGACUAUACGACUUGCAGUAAGAUUUAGGAGCUAUAGUUGCUAAGGCG